Molecule: ribosomal RNA, 170 nt
Filed under: Acanthurus xanthopterus (yellowfin surgeonfish)
Lineage: Eukaryota; Metazoa; Chordata; Actinopteri; Acanthuriformes; Acanthuridae
Description: partial small subunit ribosomal RNA
Source: RNAcentral
CACCGCGGUUAUACGAGAGACCCAAGUUGACAGGCAAUCGGCGUAAAGAGUGGUUAAGUAAUACAUUUCACUAAAGCCAAACACCUUCAAAGCUGUUAUACGCACCCGAAGACCAGAAGCCCAAUCACGAAAGUGGCUUUAAACUAACUGAACCCACGAAAGCUAGGGCA